AUGGUCCUAGGACACCUCCUCCUCCUCCUUCUCCUUGUGGCCUUGCAGGCCCCUGGCAUCCAGGCUGCUCCAUGGCGAAAGCCGAGAGCAGAUGUGCCUCCAGAGAGGGCUUUUCCAGCCCUUCCACGGCCUCCUGUGAUGGAUCCAAGCAGGCAUCCCAAGGCUGUCCUUGUUGGUGAUGAGUACAGAGUUUCUUGGUCUAAUCCUCCCCGUGAGCCUCAGGGUGAUUCUGAGGUUACAGAUGUGCCCCCCGAGAAGGCUUUUCCAGGUCUUCCGCGGCCUCCUGUGCUGGAUCCAAGCUGGCAUCCAAGGGGUACUCAGAGAGCACAUUAUACAGCUAGAAGAGGAAAAAAAUCCCCAAAGAAAUCAGAAGCCUUGGAGAAAAUGUUGAAGGAACUGGCGCAGGCAGCAUCUGAUACAUCUGCAGAAACUAUGCAGAAGGAAGGAAGCCGUCGCAUGCCGUCAGUUUCUGGUGUAAAAAGAAAGGCAAUGCACGCAACUAGCAUGCCAUGGGCAGACUCUGGGAAAAAUACAAAGGCAGUCAGUGACAAACGUCAGCGGUUGUACAGUACAAUGUCUUUUGUGGUCCCGAUGGCGCUGCUGUCUUUGCGUCUGAUGCUUUUAGUUAACAAACUGCUCCAGAAGAAAAGAGAGCUAACGGAAGAGAGUGAAGAGGGAGCACCGGGACAAGCUAACACUGAUGCUGCCUCGACUGGAGAAGAUCAAACUGGAGAUGCAGCAUCAAAAGAAGAAACAAAAUGA
RNAcentral lists this long non-coding RNA (762 nucleotides) under Numida meleagris (helmeted guineafowl). RNAcentral describes it as "lncRNA (ENSNMEG00000017884.1)". Lineage: Eukaryota; Metazoa; Chordata; Aves; Galliformes; Numididae. The record is from RNAcentral.